CUUAAACAAGGCCACUUGGGCCGGCCCACUGCCAAUUGCCCAGGAGGCCAGGUGGUGAGAGAAUUUCCCGCCACACAGGGGGCUUCUGGGAAGAAGAAGCUCCCUGCAGUGCCUGAUGAGCUGGAGGGUGCCCCACGUCACAAUGGCCCUUGCCCAGUAAGUCAGAGGCAGAAGAAGAAAUUGAAAGAUUCUGUGCUGGAGUCUAGGAGGAAACUGAUCACACACCAAACCAGGUGAUUGGAGUGCAAAUGUUCUACAGGUACUGCAGUUUCAUUCUUUUUUUAAAAAGAAGACAAGGCUCACUAGAAAAGGCAAUAUAGUAUAAGAUGGCAGGAAAAGAGGAAGACUACAUUAUGCAUCAGUCUAUACAACUAUCAAGAAAGCCAUGGUCUUGAGACUGCAAGACCUGAGCAAAGCUAUUAUGUAAUGCAGUUGAAGUAAAUAGCUUGGAUUACU
Anolis carolinensis (green anole) is the source of this 456-nucleotide long non-coding RNA. RefSeq lists it as uncharacterized. The transcript is spliced from 2 exons. The record is from RefSeq and is a predicted model, not a curated record. NCBI's taxonomy places the organism in Eukaryota, Metazoa, Chordata, Lepidosauria, Squamata, Anolidae.